CCUACGGGGGGCAGCAGUGAGGAAUAUUGGUCAAUGGGCGGGAGCCUGAACCAGCCAAGUCGCGUGAGGGAAGACGGUCCUAUGGAUUGUAAACCUCUUUAGGCGGGGAGCAAUGCCGGGCACGCGUGCCCGGAGGGAGAGUACCCGCAGAAUAAGCAUCGGCUAACUCCGUGCCAGCAGCCGCGGUAAUACGGAGGAUGCGAGCGUUCUCCGGAUUUAUUGGGUGUAAAGGGUGCGUAGACGGGAAAACAAGUUAGUUGUGAAAUCCCUCGGCUUAACUGAGGAACUGCAACUAAAACUAUGUUUCUUGAGUGCAGGAGAGGUAAGUGGAAUUCCUAAUGUAGCGGUGAAAUGCGUAGAUAUUAGGAGGAACACCAGUGGCGAAGGCGACUUACUGGACUGUAACUGACGUUGAGGCACGAAAGUGUGGGGAGCAAACAGGAUUAGAUACCCUAGUAGUC
This 461-nucleotide ribosomal RNA is filed under the name uncultured bacterium. RNAcentral's name for it is "partial 16S ribosomal RNA". It matches the Rfam family "Bacterial small subunit ribosomal RNA", at positions 338 to 795 of the family's 1533-position model. The record is from RNAcentral.